GCCGGGGUGGUCGAGAGGUGAGGCGGCGGGCUGCAGACCCGCUUUACGUGGGUUCAAAUCCCACCCCCGGCUCCA
RNAcentral lists this transfer RNA (75 nucleotides) under Candidatus Bathyarchaeota archaeon. Its description in RNAcentral is "tRNA-Cys". It matches the Rfam family "tRNA". Rfam says of the family: Transfer RNA (tRNA) molecules are approximately 80 nucleotides in length. Their secondary structure includes four short double-helical elements and three loops (D, anti-codon, and T loops). Further hydrogen bonds mediate the characteristic L-shaped molecular structure. tRNAs have two regions of fundamental functional importance: the anti-codon, which is responsible for specific mRNA codon recognition, and the 3' end, to which the tRNAs corresponding amino acid is attached (by aminoacyl-tRNA synthetases). tRNAs cope with the degeneracy of the genetic code in two manners: having more than one tRNA (with a specific anti-codon) for a particular amino acid; and 'wobble' base-pairing, i.e. permitting non-standard base-pairing at the 3rd anti-codon position. RNAcentral also lists the same sequence under 1 other name. Lineage: Archaea; Thermoproteati; Candidatus Bathyarchaeota. The record is from RNAcentral.